This 396-nucleotide ribosomal RNA is filed under the name uncultured bacterium. Its description in RNAcentral is "partial 16S ribosomal RNA". It matches the Rfam family "Bacterial small subunit ribosomal RNA", at positions 523 to 917 of the family's 1533-position model. The record is from RNAcentral.
AUACGUAGGUGACAAGCGUUAUCCGGAUUUACUGGGCGUAAAGGGCGUGUAGGCGGUCUUGCAAGUCAGAAGUGAAAUUCCUGAGCUCAACUCGGGCGCUGCUUCUGAAACUGCAGGACUUGAGUGCUGGAGGGGAUAGCGGAAUUCCUAGUGGAGCGGUAAAAUGCGCAGAUAUUAUGAAGAACACCGGUGGCGAAGGCGGCUAUCUGGACAGUAUCAGGCGCUGAGGCGCGAACGCGUGGGGAGCAAACAGGAUUAGAUGCCCGGGUAGUCCACGCCGUAAACGAUGAAUUCUAGGUGUAGGGGGUAUCGACUCCCUCUGUGCCGAAGUUAACACAAUAAGUAUUCCGCCUGGGGAGUACGGCCGCAAGGUUGAAACUUAAAGGAAUUGACGGG